This 837-nucleotide long non-coding RNA is filed under the name Panax ginseng (ginseng). Its description in RNAcentral is "long non-coding RNA (PGIN_LNC007192)". The record is from RNAcentral. Lineage: Eukaryota; Viridiplantae; Streptophyta; Magnoliopsida; Apiales; Araliaceae.
ACAGCUCUCUUAUUGUAUAUUAAAGAUUGUAUUUGUAUUUUGUACCAUGUAUCUGGCGACUCAAGAUGGGUGAUGUAUAUCUAUUUUUGGGGGCGUCACAUAACAAGCUCAGCAAGUCUAACAAAGAAUAACAUUAAUACCACAUUCGUGAAUUAUACGACAAUUUUCCAUAAAUGAACAAAUAGUUAUGAAGUAUCAUGAAACAGUAAUACUUUAACAAAUCAUAACAUCAAUUCCCAAAGUAUAGAAUAGAUUAGGAAUUCUGAACCGAUCGAUAGACCAUGAAUAGUAGCUUUCUGUUUUCAUACUUGAAAAGGACAUCACAACACUGAUGUACAUCCGACAUUACAUACUAGCACUUCUAGGUGAUCAGCCUAUAGUACUCUAUGUUGAUCAACAUUCAUCCGUUAAACGUAUUUACGUUUAAGUUUUGGUAAGCUCGUGUGCCCAUCGAAUAAUCGAUGAAAAAUACUUUUGUUUGUUCUAACCUUACCUUCAAAUCUGUACCAAUUACUUGGCAUAGGAUAGCGUUAACAUUUCUAUAUAGAAUGAUAUGUAGACAAAUCAAUCUAUAUCUUACGAGUAGUCUAGCCGAGUUAAAACUGGCAUUGACUGUGGCGACCCCAAAUCCGGAUACUUGAAACCCGAACUCGGUUCUCCAUGAUACCAUUUCUUUAAGCUGAAUAAUACUAAAUAAUAAUAAUAAUAUAAUUCGAACUUAAUUUACAUACAUCAAAGUUUACUUCCCCAGGUACGUGACCUUCAAAUACAUUCCUUACAAUACCUGACAAUAGAUUCCAUUGUCUUACUAACUAUAACCAUUAACUCAUACUAANN